GUGUCCCAGCACAGACCCUAAAAUUGGAAAGAUACAGGGAAGAUUACCAUGGCCCCUGAACAAGAAUAUCAAGUGUUUCUGAAGACUGGAGCGACAGGAAG
Small nuclear RNA from Ursus americanus (American black bear), 101 nucleotides. The record is from Ensembl. Lineage: Eukaryota; Metazoa; Chordata; Mammalia; Carnivora; Ursidae.